Molecule: ribosomal RNA, 491 nt
Filed under: uncultured bacterium
Lineage: Bacteria
Description: partial 16S ribosomal RNA
Rfam family: Bacterial small subunit ribosomal RNA
Source: RNAcentral
GUGAACGCUGGCGGUAGGCCUAACACAUGCAAGUCGAACGGCAGCACAGUAAGAGCUUGCUCUUACGGGUGGCGAGUGGCGGACGGGUGAGGAAUACAUCGGAAUCUACUUUUUCGUGGGGGAUAACGUAGGGAAACUUACGCUAAUACCGCAUACGACCUACGGGUGAAAGCAGGGGAUCUUCGGACCUUGCGCGAUUGAAUGAGCCGAUGUCGGAUUAGCUAGUUGGCGGGGUAAAGGCCCACCAAGGCGACGAUCCGUAGCUGGUCUGAGAGGAUGAUAAGCCACACUGGAACUGAGACACGGUCCAGACUCCUAAGGGAGGCAGCAGUGGGGAAUAUUGGACAAUGGGCGCAAGCAUGAUCCAGCCAUACCGCGUGGGUGAAGAAGGCCUUCGGGUUGUAAAGCCCUUUUGUCGGGAAAGAAAAGCAGCAGGUUAAUACCCCGCUGUUCUGACGGUACCCAAAGAAUAAGCACCGGCUAACUUCGUG